RNAcentral lists this ribosomal RNA (348 nucleotides) under uncultured bacterium. RNAcentral's name for it is "bacterial SSU rRNA". It matches the Rfam family "Bacterial small subunit ribosomal RNA", at positions 29 to 369 of the family's 1533-position model. The record is from RNAcentral.
AAUGAACGCUGGCGGCGCGCCUAAUACAUGCAAGUCGAGCGAGAAGACGUAGCAAUACGUUUGUAAAGCGGCGAACGGGUGAGGAAUACAUGGGUAACCUACCCUCGAGUGGGGAAUAACUAGCCGAAAGGUUAGCUAAUACCGCGUACGCUUCUUGGACUUCGGUUCAGGGAGGAAAGCGAUACCGUGGGUAUCGCGCUCUUGGAUGGGCUCAUGUCCUAUCAGCUUGUUGGGAGGUAACGGCUCACCAAGGCUUCGACGGGUAGCUGGUCUGAGAGGACGAUCAGCCACACUGGCACUGCGACACGGGCCAGACUCCUACGGGAGCAGCAGUAAGGAAUAUUGCGC